This 64-nucleotide transfer RNA is filed under the name Acizzia uncatoides. RNAcentral describes it as "tRNA-Tyr". Lineage: Eukaryota; Metazoa; Arthropoda; Insecta; Hemiptera; Psyllidae. The record is from RNAcentral.
AGACAAAAUGGCUGAUAAAAGCAGGGAACUGUAAAUUCUCGUAUAAACAUUUCGUUUUUUUGUU